GACGAACGCUGGCGGCGUGCUUAACACAUGCAAGUCGAACGCUGAAGCUCAGCUUUUGUUGGGUGGAUGAGUGGCGAACGGGUGAGUAACACGUGAGUAACCUGCCUCCUUCUUUGGGAUAACGCCCGGAAACGGGUGCUAAUACUGAUAUUCACUGGUCUUCGCAUGGGGGUUGGUGGAAAGGGUUUUUCUGGUGGGGGAUGGGCUCGCGGCCUAUCAGCUUGUUGGUGGGGUGAUGGCCUACCAAGGCUUUGACGGGUAGCCGGCCUGAGAGGGUGACCGGUCACAUUGGGACUGAGAUACGGCCCAGACUCCUACGGGAGGCAGCAGUGGGGAAUAUUGCACAAUGGGCGCAAGCCUGAUGCAGCGACGCCGCGUGAGGGAUGGAGGCCUUCGGGUUGUGAACCUCUUUCGCUCAUGGUCAAGCCGCAACAAUGGUUGUGGUGAGGGUAGUGGGUAAAGAAGCGCCGGCUAACUACGUG
Molecule: ribosomal RNA, 482 nt
Filed under: uncultured bacterium
Lineage: Bacteria
Description: partial 16S ribosomal RNA
Rfam family: Bacterial small subunit ribosomal RNA
Source: RNAcentral